AAAAUGACUCUCGGCAACGGAUAUCUCGGCUCUCGCAUCGAUGAAGAACGUAGCAAAAUGCGAUACUUGGUGUGAAUUGCAGAAUCCCGAGAACCAUCGAGUCUUUGAACGCAAGUUGCGCCUGAAGCCAAUAGGCUGAUGGCACGUCUGCCUGGGCGUCACUC
RNAcentral lists this ribosomal RNA (164 nucleotides) under Gunnera kauaiensis. Its description in RNAcentral is "5.8S ribosomal RNA". It matches the Rfam family "5.8S ribosomal RNA". Rfam says of the family: 5.8S ribosomal RNA (5.8S rRNA) is a component of the large subunit of the eukaryotic ribosome. Lineage: Eukaryota; Viridiplantae; Streptophyta; Magnoliopsida; Gunnerales; Gunneraceae. The record is from RNAcentral.